CUUGGUCAUUUAGAGGAAGUAAAAGUCGUAACAAGGUCUCCGUUGGUGAACCAGCGGAGGGAUCAUUACCGAGUUUACAACUCCCAAACCCCUGUGAACAUACCAAUUGUUGCCUCGGCGGAUCAGCCCGCUCCCGGUAAAACGGAACGGCCCGCCAGAGGACCCCUAAACUCUGUUUCUAUAUGUAACUUCUGAGUAAAACCAUAAAUAAAUCAAAACUUUCAACAACGGAUCUCUUGGUUCUGGCAUCGAUGAAGAACGCAGCAAAAUGCGAUAAGUAAUGUGAAUUGCAGAAUUCAGUGAAUCAUCGAAUCUUUGAACGCACAUUGCGCCCGCCAGUAUUCUGGCGGGCAUGCCUGUUCGAGCGUCAUUUCAACCCUCAAGCCCCCGGGUUUGGUGUUGGGGAUCGGCGAGCCUCACGGCAAGCCGGCCCCGAAAUACAGUGGCGGUCUCGCUGCAGCUUCCAUUGCGUAGUAGUAAAACCCUCGCAACUGGUACGCGGCGCGGCCAAGCCGUUAAACCCCCAACUUCUGAAUGUUGACCUCGGAUCAGGUAGGAAUACCCGCUGAACUUAAGCAUAUCAAUAAGCGGAGGA
RNAcentral lists this ribosomal RNA (595 nucleotides) under uncultured Ascomycota. Its description in RNAcentral is "eukaryotic LSU rRNA". The stretch from base 217 to 370 matches the Rfam family "5.8S ribosomal RNA". The record is from RNAcentral. Lineage: Eukaryota; Fungi; Ascomycota. RNAcentral also lists the same sequence under 1 other name.